Molecule: ribosomal RNA, 468 nt
Filed under: uncultured bacterium
Lineage: Bacteria
Description: partial 16S ribosomal RNA
Rfam family: Bacterial small subunit ribosomal RNA
Source: RNAcentral
GACGAACGCUGGCGGCGUGCUUAACACAUGCAAGUCGAACGGAAAGGCCCUGCUUUUGUGGGGUGCUCGAGUGGCGAACGGGUGAGUAACACGUGAGUAACCUGCCCUUGACUUUGGGAUAACUUCAGGAAACUGGGGCUAAUACCGGAUAGGAGCUCCUGCUGCAUUGUGGGGGUUGGAAAGUUUCGGCGGUUGGGGAUGGACUCGCGGCUUAUCAGCUUGUUGGUGGGGUAGUGGCUUACCAAGGCUUUGACGGGUAGCCGGCCUGAGAGGGUGACCGGCCACAUUGGGACUGAGAUACGGCCCAGACUCCUACGGGAGGCAGCAGUGGGGAAUAUUGCACAAUGGGCGGAAGCCUGAUGCAGCAACGCCGCGUGCGGGAUGACGGACUUCGGGUUGUAAACCGCUUUCGCCUGUGACGAAGCGUGAGUGACGGUAAUGGGUAAAGAAGCACCGGCUAACUACGUG